AAAAGCUCGUAGUUGGAUCUCAGUUCCGGCCGGGAGGUCCGCCUACCGGCGGCCACUUCCCGCGCCGAACAGCCGGCCGGUUUCUCUUGAUGAUCUUCACCGGUUGUCUCGGGUGACCGGCACGUUUACUUUGAAAAAAUUAGAGUGCUCAGAGCAGGCGCGACGCCUGGAUAAAGGUGCAUGGAAUAAUGGAAUAGGACCUCGGUUCUAUUUUGUUGGUUUUCGGAACACGAGGUAAUGAUUAAGAGGCACAGACGGGGGCAUUCGUAUUGCGACGCUAGAGGUGAAAUUCUUGGACCGUCGCACGACGAACUACUGCGAAAGCAUUUGCCAAGAAUGUUUCCAUUAAUCAAGAACGAAAGUUAGAGGUCCGAAGGCGAUCAGAUACCGCCCUAGUUCUAACCAUAAACGAUGCCAGCUAGCGAUCCGGCGUCGUUCCUCAAAUGACACGCCGGGCAGCUUCCGGGAAACCAAAGCCUUUGGGUUCCGGGGGAAGUAUGGUUGCAAAGCUGAAACUUAAAGGAAUUGACGGAAGGUCACACAAGGAAUGGAGCUUGCGGCUUAAUUUGACUCAACACUGGAAAACUCACUCAGACAAGGCACAGGAAGGAUUGACAGAUUAAGAGCUCUUUCUUGAUUCUGUGGGUGGUGGUGCAUGUCCGUUCUUCGUUGGUGGAGCGAUUUGUCUGGUUAAUUCCGAUAACGAACGAGAUUCUAGCCUACUAAAUAGGCGCUCCGAUCGGUUCCUGUCGGACGCUCUUCUUAGAGGGAUCAGUGGCGCUUAGCCGCACGAAACAGAGCAAUAACAGGUCUUGAAUGCCCUUAGAUGCCUGGGGCCGCACGCGUGCUACAUUGAAGGAAUCAGCGUGUGCUUUCCCUGUCUGACAAGACUGGGUAACCCGCUGAAACUCCUUCGUGCUGGGGAUAGGAGCUUGUAAUUGUUCUCCUUGAACGAGGAAUUCCUCGUAAGCGCGAGUCAUCAGCUCGCGUUGAUUAGGUCCCUGGCCUUUGUGCACACCGCCCGUCGCUACCCCCGAUGGAAUGAUUUAGUGAGGUCUUCGGACUGGCGCUCGGAGCGGCCCUCGCGGGUCGCGCCGGCGUGCCGGAAAGAUGCCCAAACUUGAUCAUUUAGAGGAGGUAAAAGUCGUAACAAGGUAGCU
RNAcentral lists this ribosomal RNA (1160 nucleotides) under Waitkera waitakerensis. Its description in RNAcentral is "SSU rRNA". It matches the Rfam family "Eukaryotic small subunit ribosomal RNA", at positions 622 to 1804 of the family's 1831-position model. The record is from RNAcentral. Lineage: Eukaryota; Metazoa; Arthropoda; Arachnida; Araneae; Uloboridae.